RNAcentral lists this ribosomal RNA (228 nucleotides) under Triticum aestivum (bread wheat). Its description in RNAcentral is "partial small subunit ribosomal RNA". Lineage: Eukaryota; Viridiplantae; Streptophyta; Magnoliopsida; Poales; Poaceae. The record is from RNAcentral.
AUGGACCAAUCCAUCCCUUUUUCCCGUGCAUAUGCAUCGGACUCGGAUGACGAUGGCCCCGAUGAAGAAGUUGAUGAGGAGGGGUUCACGCCGAAGGAGGCCCAAGCAUUCAAGAAGGUAUUCGGGCGGGAUCACAAGACACCAUUGUUCAAGGAUCUUUGUCUCGCGGAUGAAGCCGUUGUGGAUGGUGGCAAAUGCAUAUCUCUUGGAGCUAGGCCAAGUUCUCAC